CCAGCAGCCGCGGUAAUACGUAGGGGCCAAGCGUUAUCCGGAUUUAUUGGGCGUAAAGAGCUCGUAGGCGGCUUGGUAAGUCGGUCGUGAAAGUCCGAGGCUCAACCUCGGAACGCCGGUCGAUACUGCCAUGGCUAGGGUUCGGUAGAGGAGAGUGGAAUUCUCGGUGUAGCGGUGAAAUGCGCAGAUAUCGAGAGGAACACCAGUAGCGAAGGCGGCUCUCUGGGCCGAUACCGACGCUGAGGAGCGAAAGCGUGGGGAGCAAACAGGGAUUAGAUACCCUGGUAGUCCACGCCGUAAACGUUGAUCACUAGAUGUGGCGGACUCAUUGACGUCUGCCGUGUCGUACUAACGCAUUAAGUGAUCCGCCUGGGGAGUACGGCCGCAAGGCUAAAACUCAAGGAUUGACGGGGCCCCGCACAAGCGGCGGAGCAUGCGGCUUAAUUCGAUGCAACCCGAAGAACCUUACCUGGGUUUGACAUCAUGGGAAAAACUGUAGAGAUACAGUGUGCGCAAGCGUCCAUGACAGGUGGUGCAUGGCUGUCGUCAGCUCGUGUCGUGAGAUGUUGGGUUAAGUCCUGCAACGAGCGCAACCCUCGUCCUAUGUUGCCAGCGGGUCAUGCCGGGGACUCAUAGGAGACUGCCGGGGACAACUCGGAGGAAGGUGAGGACGACGUCAAGUCAUCAUGCCCCUUAUAUCCAGGGCUGCACGCAUGCUACAAUGGCCGGUACAACGGGCAGCGAUCCCGCGAGGGUGAGCGAAUCCCUCAAAGCCGGUCUCAGUUCGGAUUGAAGUCUGCAACUCGACUUCAUGAAGCCGGAGUCGCUAGUAAUCGUGGAUCAGCAAAGCCGCGGUGAAUACGUUCUCGGGGCUUGUACACACCGCCCGUCACAUCACGAAAGUUGGCAAUGCCCGUAGUCAGUGGUCUAACCCUUUUUGGGAGGAAGCUGCCGAAGGUAGGGUCAGCGAUUGGGAUGAAGUCGUAACAAGGUAGCCGAU
Molecule: ribosomal RNA, 1000 nt
Filed under: uncultured Actinomycetes bacterium
Lineage: Bacteria; Bacillati; Actinomycetota; Actinomycetes
Description: bacterial SSU rRNA
Rfam family: Bacterial small subunit ribosomal RNA
Source: RNAcentral